Molecule: ribosomal RNA, 236 nt
Filed under: uncultured Actinomycetales bacterium
Lineage: Bacteria; Bacillati; Actinomycetota; Actinomycetes; Actinomycetales
Description: partial 16S ribosomal RNA
Rfam family: Bacterial small subunit ribosomal RNA
Source: RNAcentral
GGCGAACAGGUGAGUAACACGUGAGUAACCUGCCCUUGACUUUGGGAUAACUUCAGGAAACUGGGGCUAAUACCGGAUAGGAGCUCCUGCUGCAUGGUGGGGGUUGGAAAGUUUCGGCGGUUGGGGAUGGACUCGCGGCUUAUCAGCUUGUUGGUGGGGUAGUGGCUUACCAAGGCUUUGACGGGUAGCCGGCCUGAGAGGGUGACCGGCCACAUUGGGACUGAGAUACGGCCCAG